UUUCGAUGACGCUGGCGGUGGCCUAACACAUGCAAGUCGAGCGCACCUUCGGGUGAGCGGCGGACGGGUUAGUAACGCGUGGGAACGUACCCUUCUCUAAGGAAUAGUCUCGGGAAACUGGGGGUAAUACCUUAUACGCCCUUCGGGGGAAAGAUUUAUCGGAGAAGGAUCGGCCCGCGUUAGAUUAGAUAGUUGGUGGGGUAAUGGCCUACCAAGUCUACGAUCUAUAGCUGGUUUUAGAGGAUGAUCAGCAACACUGGGACUGAGACACGGCCCAGACUCCUACGGGAGGCAGCAGUGGGGAAUCUUAGACAAUGGGCGCAAGCCUGAUCUAGCCAUGCCGCGUGAGUGAUGAAGGUCUUAGGAUCGUAAAGCUCUUUCGCUGGGGAAGAUAAUGACUGUACCCAGUAAAGAAACCCCGGCUAACUCCGUGCCAGCAGCCGCGGUAAUACGGAGGGGGUUAGCGUUGUUCGGAAUUACUGGGCGUAAAGCGUACGUAGGCGGAUUAGCAAGUAUGGGGUGAAAUCCCGGGGCUCAACCCCGGAACUGCCUCAUAAACUGCUAGUCUAGAGUUCGAGAGAGGUGAGUGGAAUUCCGAGUGUAGAGGUGAAAUUCGUAGAUAUUCGGAGGAACACCAGUGGCGAAGGCGGUUACUGCUCGAUCUGCGCUGAGGUCCAAAGUGUGGGGAGCAACAGGAUUAGAUCCUGGUAGUCACGCCUAACGAUAAAACUAGACGU
RNAcentral lists this ribosomal RNA (737 nucleotides) under uncultured Antarctic soil bacterium. RNAcentral's name for it is "bacterial SSU rRNA". It matches the Rfam family "Bacterial small subunit ribosomal RNA", at positions 23 to 823 of the family's 1533-position model. The record is from RNAcentral.